This 498-nucleotide long non-coding RNA is filed under the name Panax ginseng (ginseng). RNAcentral describes it as "long non-coding RNA (PGIN_LNC002941)". Lineage: Eukaryota; Viridiplantae; Streptophyta; Magnoliopsida; Apiales; Araliaceae. The record is from RNAcentral.
GGAUUUAGUCCGUUUCAGAGUCUAUGGAAAGCUUAUUGAGUGUACUAUAACAUAUCACAAGUCCAGAAUUUUUAGAGCACCCUAACAAAUCCGAAAUUUUCUGUUUAGGGCAGCAGUCCACUAAUUCAUUUAAAAAAAAAAAACUGUUUUGGUUCAUCUUCUUUGUUCAAGCUUAUCAACCCUAAAAAUGGCAAGAUCUAACCAUAAAAUAUCAUAUAUCAUGUAGAUCUUCCCUCAUAUGGAUCAUAAGUUCAACACUUGAUGAAAAACAACCAUCACAAAACACAUAAACUAACUAGAGUUUUGAGUUUAGGAAAUUUUAUACCUUUGAUUCCAACCAAAAUCAACACCCAAUAUUGUUAGAUCCAAACAUGAAACACUUAUAUAUACAUAGAUCUAAGGUUUUAAACCUCAAGAUCACAACUUCAAGUUAUCAAAAAUCAAAUCAAACUACCAAGGAAAAUAAACUACAUAAGAAGAAAUUUUUGUUAUACCUUA